GAUCCUGGCUCGGGAUGAACGCUAGCUACAGGCUUAACACAUGCAAGUCGAGGGGCAGCGGGAUUGAAGCUUGCUUCAAUCGCCGGCGACCGGCGCACGGGUGAGUAACGCGUAUCCAACCUUCCGUACACUCAGGAAUAGCCUUUCGAAAGAAAGAUUAAUACCUGAUGGUAUGAUGAGAUUGCAUGAUAGCAUCAUUAAAGAUUUAUCGGUGUACGAUGGGGAUGCG
RNAcentral lists this ribosomal RNA (229 nucleotides) under uncultured bacterium. Its description in RNAcentral is "partial 16S ribosomal RNA". It matches the Rfam family "Bacterial small subunit ribosomal RNA", at positions 15 to 235 of the family's 1533-position model. The record is from RNAcentral.